RNAcentral lists this ribosomal RNA (1960 nucleotides) under human gut metagenome. Its description in RNAcentral is "bacterial LSU rRNA". It matches the Rfam family "Bacterial large subunit ribosomal RNA", at positions 1 to 1975 of the family's 2925-position model. The record is from RNAcentral.
UUAAGUGAAUAAGGGCGCACGGUGGAUGCCUUGGCACUAGGAGCCGAUGAAGGACGGGACUAACACCGAUAUGCUUUGGGGAGCUGUAAGUAAGCUAUGAUCCAGAGAUUUCCGAAUGGGGGAACCCAAUAUCUUUUAUAGGAUAUUACUUUUCAGUGAAUACAUAGCUGAUUAGAGGUAGACGCAGAGAACUGAAACAUCUUAGUACCUGCAGGAAGAGAAAGAAAAUUCGAUUCCCUGAGUAGCGGCGAGCGAAACGGGAAGAGCCCAAACCAACAAGCUUGCUUGUUGGGGUUGUAGGACUCCAAUAUGGUAGUCUGUUAGUAUAGUUGAAGGAUUUGGAAAAUUCCGCUAAAGAGGGUGAAAGCCCCGUAGACGAAAUGCUGACAACACCUAGGAGGAUCCUGAGUACGGCGGAACACGAGAAAUUCCGUCGGAAUCCGCGGGGACCAUCCCGCAAGGCUAAAUACUCCCUAGUGACCGAUAGUGAACCAGUACCGUGAGGGAAAGGUGAAAAGCACCCCGGAAGGGGAGUGAAAUAGAUCCUGAAACCGUGUGCCUACAACAAGUCAAAGCUCGUUAAUGAGUGAUGGCGUGCCUUUUGUAGAAUGAACCGGCGAGUUACGAUUGCAUGCGAGGUUAAGUCGAAGAGACGGAGCCGCAGCGAAAGCGAGUCUGAAUAGGGCGAAUGAGUAUGUAGUCGUAGACCCGAAACCAUGUGAUCUACCCAUGUCCAGGUUGAAGGUGCGGUAAAACGCACUGGAGGACCGAACCCACGUACGUUGAAAAGUGCGGGGAUGAGGUGUGGGUAGCGGAGAAAUUCCAAACGAACUUGGAGAUAGCUGGUUCUCUCCGAAAUAGCUUUAGGGCUAGCCUCGGAAUUGAGAAUGAUGGAGGUAGAGCACUGUUUGGACUAGGGGCCCAUCUCGGGUUACCGAAUUCAGAUAAACUCCGAAUGCCAUUCAUUUAUAUCCGGGAGUCAGACUGCGAGUGAUAAGAUCCGUAGUCGAAAGGGAAACAGCCCAGACCACCAGCUAAGGUCCCAAAAUAUAUGUUAAGUGGAAAAGGAUGUGGGGUUGCACAGACAACUAGGAUGUUGGCUUAGAAGCAGCCACCAUUUAAAGAGUGCGUAAUAGCUCACUAGUCGAGUGACCCUGCGCCGAAAAUGUACCGGGGCUAAACAUAUUACCGAAGCUGUGGACUACACCAUUAGGUGUAGUGGUAGGAGAGCGUUCUAAGGGCGUUGAAGGUCGAUCGUGAGGACGGCUGGAGCGCUUAGAAGUGAGAAUGCCGGUAUGAGUAGCGAAAGACAGGUGAGAAUCCUGUCCACCGUAUGACUAAGGUUUCCUGGGGAAGGCUCGUCCGCCCAGGGUUAGUCGGGACCUAAGCCGAGGCCGAUAGGCGUAGGCGAUGGACAACAGGUUGAUAUUCCUGUACCAGUUGUUUUUGUUUGAGCAAUGGAGGGACGCAGUAGGCUAAGGAAUGCAUGCGAUUGGAAGUGCAUGUCCAAGCAAUGAGUCUUGAGUAGAGUUAAAUGCUUUACUCUUUAAGGACAAGUUGUGACGGGGAGCGAAAUAAUAGUAGCGAAGUUCCUGAUGUCACACUGCCAAGAAAAGCUUCUAGUGAGAAAACAACUGCCCGUACCGUAAACCGACACAGGUAGUCGAGGAGAGUAUCCUAAGGUGAGCGAGCGAACUCUCGUUAAGGAACUCGGCAAAAUGACCCCGUAACUUCGGGAGAAGGGGUGCUGACUUCGGUCAGCCGCAGUGAAUAGGCCCAAGCGACUGUUUAUCAAAAACACAGGUCUCUGCAAAAUCGUAAGAUGAAGUAUAGGGGCUGACGCCUGCCCGGUGCUGGAAGGUUAAGAGGAUGGGUUAGCUUCGGCGAAGCUCAGAAUUGAAGCCCCAGUAAACGGCGGCCGUAACUAUAACGGUCCUAAGGUAGCGAAAUUCCUUGUCGG